Xiphophorus maculatus (southern platyfish) is the source of this 72-nucleotide non-coding RNA. The record is from Rfam. Lineage: Eukaryota; Metazoa; Chordata; Actinopteri; Cyprinodontiformes; Poeciliidae.
UCCUCGUUAGUACAAUGGUGAGUCUCCCCGCCUGUCACGCAGGAGACAGGGGUUCGAUUCCCCGACGGGGAG